CAGCCAAUGCACCAGCAGAUACGUGCCUCGCUGUCGCCCGGGGAGACCUGGCACCAGAGCGCCAUUAAGAAUCUGCUCUUUUUGAUCUACAUCUCCUUGUUGGAGGAGGGAAAAGGCUCUGUUAACAAAGAGCAGAUCCAGAAAAUGAGGACUGGUGGUGUGUUUGUGUUGCUUAGCGGUGGGUGGAACUGGAGGUGGGGUCCGGCACACUCAACCAGACCAGAGGAAACACCAAAAGUCCGGAUCAGAUCU
Astatotilapia calliptera (eastern happy) is the source of this 252-nucleotide long non-coding RNA. Lineage: Eukaryota; Metazoa; Chordata; Actinopteri; Cichliformes; Cichlidae. The record is from Ensembl.